Molecule: ribosomal RNA, 253 nt
Filed under: uncultured bacterium
Lineage: Bacteria
Description: partial 16S ribosomal RNA
Rfam family: Bacterial small subunit ribosomal RNA
Source: RNAcentral
GACAGAGGUGCCGAGCGUUAGGCGGAAUCACUGGGCUUAAAGCGCGCGUAGGCGGCCCGGUAAGUCGGAUGUGAAAUCUCACGGCUCAACCGUGGAACUGCAUUCGAUACUGUCGGGCUAGAGGCAGGUAGGGGAGCAUGGAAUUCCUGGUGUAGCGGUGAAAUGCGCAGAUAUCAGGAGGAACACCAGUGGCGAAGGCGGUGCUCUGGGCCGGUACUGACGCUGAGGAGCGAAAGCGUGGGGAGCAAACAGG